AAGGGGCUUGCUGACUUCACGCAGAAGCUGAGCUCAGCAUCAACGGACUUGGAGAAAGCUGAGGCCCAAAUUGGAGUGGAUGUGCAUAGUGCUCUUAACUCUGCUCUCACGGGCUAGAGUUAAAUAGCUCUAUGUGCUUUCUUGCAUCUUCUUCUCACCUUUUUGCUUCUUCAAAUCUGCCCCAUUGACGCUUAGAUUUGUGUCGAGCCCGGGAACUGCUCUGAAUAUUUUGUUUUUGAAUUCUCAUGUUGAAUAUGGGAUUGAAAUAAUAUCGGGAAUAGAUUUAUCAUCAUCCUGG
This 298-nucleotide long non-coding RNA is filed under the name Vitis vinifera (wine grape). Its description in RNAcentral is "long non-coding RNA (VVIN_LNC005092)". Lineage: Eukaryota; Viridiplantae; Streptophyta; Magnoliopsida; Vitales; Vitaceae. The record is from RNAcentral.